Molecule: ribosomal RNA, 430 nt
Filed under: uncultured Actinomycetes bacterium
Lineage: Bacteria; Bacillati; Actinomycetota; Actinomycetes
Description: bacterial SSU rRNA
Rfam family: Bacterial small subunit ribosomal RNA
Source: RNAcentral
GGGCCCGCACAAGCGGCGGAGCAUGUUGCUUAAUUCGACGCAACGCGAAGAACCUUACCAAGGCUUGACAUUGCCGGAAAACUCGCAGAGAUGCGGGGUCCCUUUGGGGCCGGUGACAGGUGGUGCAUGGCUGUCGUCAGCUCGUGUCGUGAGAUGUUGGGUUAAGUCCCGCAACGAGCGCAACCCUCGUUCCAUGUUGCCAGCACGUAAUGGUGGGGACUCAUGGGAGACUGCCGGGGUCAACUCGGAGGAAGGUGGGGAUGACGUCAAGUCAUCAUGCCCCUUAUGUCCAGGGCUUCACACAUGCUACAAUGGCCUAUACAAAGGGCUGCGAAACCGUGAGGUGGAGCGAAUCCCAAAAAGCCGGUCUCAGUUCGGAUCGGGGUCUGCAACUCGACCCCGUGAAGUCGGAGUCGCUAGUAAUCGCAGA